GUGUUGUAUGAAAGGACGGGAAGUUGGCAGUCUCCUUGACAAGCAUGGAAGAGGCCCUUGGCACGGAGAACAAGCAUAUGGUUGAGGCAUUGCCGCUUACUUCUCAGUUUCUAACUGCUUUUAAU
This 125-nucleotide non-coding RNA is filed under the name Microcebus murinus (gray mouse lemur). Lineage: Eukaryota; Metazoa; Chordata; Mammalia; Primates; Cheirogaleidae. The record is from RNAcentral.